UUAUAGACGUCUGCUUCUGGCCAAUGUGAAGAUAGGAUAAUUGGCUAUGACAGACCCUGAAUGCAUGAAGCUUUUAAAUGUUCAUAUCACCUAAAGAGAGGAGUCAUUGCACAAAGACCCAUAAGUGUGCUGAGGCUUUACUUUGAGUUUUCCCUGUGAUUAAUCCUUUGUUCCCAGAAUAAUCUUCAGGAUCUCUCUGUAAAAUAGCAUACCUUAAAUUCUGAGAUUUUACUGACAUAUUUUCUCCAGAGUGUGUGGCAAAAAUUGGAAUGAUUUGGCUCUGUGGAGGGAUCACAUCCCAGGCUAUAGUAGAUUAUCAACAAAUUGUAAGAAGGACCCUUAAGAGGAUAGCAUAUCAUGACUCUUCCAAAGCAGUCUCCGGGCACACAAAUGGAUUGCAAGCGUAAGGGCUCUGGAAUGGAAUGGAACAUGGGUCAGACCAGAUGGGAAAACACAGGUCCUUCCAAGCAAAAAGUUUGUAGAAGGUGGUCCCAAGGUAUGGUACUUUGAUAAACAACAGCCUAUGCAGACUUGGACUCCACCACAUGCUUGUAUGAAAAUGUGGGAUCUUCAUAUAAAUCUACUUGCCUUUAAGACCACACUUCUUGACUGAUGAAGCAUUACAGAACAGUGUGGGAAUCACAAGAGGCCACGCCCCUGUAAUCUACACAGUGCAUGAAGAAGAGCAAGUUCUUAGUUUAUGGAAGCUGACUGACAAAUAUAACUUCAAAAAACUGAACCAGUCAUCUGUGCAGGAGAAAGUAGCCAUGGCCACCAGAAAUCUUACAGAUUUGGAGAUGUCUGGGAUUGUCUCAAAAGGAUGGCUGCUGGCAAGGUGGAGUCAGUACAGACUAAACUUCUGAAAGAGAAUCUUGACGAUUGGUGUUAUUUCUGAAGCAUAAGGUUUGGAGGCAAGCCUUUUUUCUAGUGAUCUGCUGUCUCAGGUCAUAGGUAGUAUUGUGGAAAUGGA
RNAcentral lists this long non-coding RNA (970 nucleotides) under Zonotrichia albicollis (white-throated sparrow). RNAcentral describes it as "lncRNA (ENSZALG00000007836.1)". The record is from RNAcentral. Lineage: Eukaryota; Metazoa; Chordata; Aves; Passeriformes; Passerellidae.